RNAcentral lists this ribosomal RNA (497 nucleotides) under uncultured bacterium. Its description in RNAcentral is "partial 16S ribosomal RNA". It matches the Rfam family "Bacterial small subunit ribosomal RNA", at positions 28 to 507 of the family's 1533-position model. The record is from RNAcentral.
GAUGAACGCUGGCGGCGUGCCUAAUACAUGCAAGUCGAGCGAACGGACGAGAAGCUUGCUUCUCUGAUGUUAGCGGCGGACGGGUGAGUAACACGUGGAUAACCUACCUAUAAGACUGGGAUAACUUCGGGAAACCGUAGCUAAUACCGGAUAAUAUUUUGAACCGCAUGGUUCAAAAGUGAAAGACGGUCUUGCUGUCACUUAUAGAUGGAUCCGCGCUGCAUUAGCUAGUUGGUAAGGUAACGGCUUACCAAGGCAACGAUGCAUAGCCGACCUGAGAGGGUGAUCGGCCACCCUGGAACUGAGACACGGUCCAGGCUCCUACGGGAGGCAGCAGUAGGGAAUCUUCCGCAAUGGGCGAAAGCCUGCCGGAGCAACGCCGCGUGAGUGAUGAAGGUCUUCGGAUCGUAAAACUCUGUUAUUAGGGAAGAACAUAUGUGUAAGUAACUGUGCACAUCUUGACGGUACCUAAUCAGAAAGCCACGGCUAACUACGUG